GCGUUUGAAGAUAGUUGGUGAGCAACGGAGUUCUGGUGCCGAAAACGGCAUUCUUAGGAACCUUAAACAUCAUUAUUUCUGGUAAGAUAAUUUAAUGUCACAAGAUUGUGUGUUUGCUGUCCGAACACCUAAAUAGGUGAGUUUUGGGCACGUGAGCCUUGAUUUUUAGAUCUGUUUGACCCAUUUGCAUCGAUUAUAGCCUAUGAUUGUCUGAUUGAGCUUGACAGAGAUCGCAAUUAUACUCGGUUGGGU
Molecule: long non-coding RNA, 252 nt
Filed under: Ananas comosus (pineapple)
Lineage: Eukaryota; Viridiplantae; Streptophyta; Magnoliopsida; Poales; Bromeliaceae
Description: long non-coding RNA (ACOM_LNC003626)
Source: RNAcentral